Molecule: ribosomal RNA, 499 nt
Filed under: uncultured bacterium
Lineage: Bacteria
Description: partial 16S ribosomal RNA
Rfam family: Bacterial small subunit ribosomal RNA
Source: RNAcentral
GACGAACGCUGGCGGCGUGCCUAAUACAUGCAAGUCGAGCGGACUGACUGGGAGCUUGCUCUUGUUCGGUCAGCGGCGGACGGGUGAGUAACACGUGGGCAACCUGCCCGCAAGACCGGGAUAACUCCGGGAAACCGGAGCUAAUACCGGAUAACACCGAAGACCGCAUGGUCUUUGGUUGAAAGGCGGCGCAAGCUGCCACUUGCGGAUGGGCCCGCGGCGCAUUAGCUAGUUGGUGAGGUAACGGCUCACCAAGGCGACGAUGCGUAGCCGGCCUGAGAGGGUGACCGGCCACACUGGGACUGAGACACGGCCCAGACUCCUACGGGAGGCAGCAGUAGGGAAUCUUCCGCAAUGGGCGAAAGCCUGACGGAGCGACGCCGCGUGAGCGAAGAAGGCCGUCGGGUCGUAAAGCUCUGUUGUGAGGGACGAAGGAGCGCCGUUUGAAGAAGGCGGCGCGGUGACGGUACCUCACGAGGAAGCCCCGGCUAACUACGUG